ACGGACUCCUACGGGAGGCAGCAGUAGGGAAUUUUCCGCAAUGGGCGAAAGCCUUGACGGAGCAAUGCCGCGUGGAGGUAGAAGGCCCACGGGUCGUGAACUUCUUUUCCCGGAGAAGAAGCAGAUGACGGUAUCUGGGGAAUAAGCAUCGGCCAAACUCCGUGCCAGCAGCCGCGGUAAU
This 181-nucleotide ribosomal RNA is filed under the name bacterium enrichment culture clone AVCTGRB3A. RNAcentral describes it as "partial 16S ribosomal RNA". It matches the Rfam family "Bacterial small subunit ribosomal RNA", at positions 331 to 524 of the family's 1533-position model. The record is from RNAcentral.